This 490-nucleotide ribosomal RNA is filed under the name uncultured bacterium. RNAcentral's name for it is "partial 16S ribosomal RNA". It matches the Rfam family "Bacterial small subunit ribosomal RNA", at positions 30 to 507 of the family's 1533-position model. The record is from RNAcentral.
AUUGAACGCUGGCGGCAGGCCUAACACAUGCAAGUCGAACGGUAACAGGAAGCAGCUUGCUGCUUCGCUGACGAGUGGCGGACGGGUGAGUAAUGUCUGGGAAGCUGCCUGAUGGAGGGGGAUAACUACUGGAAACGGUAGCUAAUACCGCAUAAUGUCGCAAGACCAAAGAGGGGGACCUUCGGGCCUCUUGCCAUCGGCUGUGCCCAGAUGGGAUUAGCUUGUUGGUGGGGUAACGGCUCACCAAGGCGACGAUCCCUAGCUGGUCUGAGAGGAUGACCAGCCACACUGGAACUGAGACACGGUCCAGACUCCUACGGGAGGCAGCAGUGGGGAAUAUUGCACAAUGGGCGCAAGCCUGAUGCAGCCAUGCCGCGUGUAUGAAGAAGGCCUUCGGGUUGUAAAGUACUUUCAGCGGGGAGGAAGGGAGUAAAGUUAAUACCUUUGCUCAUUGACGUUACCCGAAGAAGAAGCACCGGCUAACUCCGCG